RNAcentral lists this ribosomal RNA (435 nucleotides) under uncultured bacterium. RNAcentral describes it as "partial 16S ribosomal RNA". It matches the Rfam family "Bacterial small subunit ribosomal RNA", at positions 29 to 507 of the family's 1533-position model. The record is from RNAcentral.
AACGAACGCUGGCGGCAUGCCUAACACAUGCAAGUCGAACGAUUGCCUUCGGGUGAUAGUGGCGCACGGGUGCGUAACGCGUGGGAAUCUGCCCUUAGGUUCGGAAUAACAGCUGGAAACGGCUGCUAAUACCGGAUGAUAUCGCGAGAUCAAAGAUUUAUCUCCUGAGGAUGCGCCCGCGUUGGAUUAGGUUGUUGGUGGGGUAAAGGCCUACCAAGCCGACGAUCCAUAGCUGGUCUGAGAGGAUGAUCAGCCACACUGGGACUGAGACACGGCCCAGACUCCUACGGGAGGCAGCAGUGGGGAAUAGUGGAAAAUGGGCGCAAGCCUGAUGCAGCAAUGCCGGGUGAGUGAUGAAGGCCCUAGGGUUGUAAAGCUCUUUUACCCGGGAAGAUAAUGACUGUACCGGGAGAAUAAGCCCCGGCUAACUCCGUG